AUUGAACGCUGGCGGCAUGCUUUACACAUGCAAGUCGAACGGUAACAGGCCGCAAGGUGCUGACGAGUGGCGAACGGGUGAGUAAUGCAUCGGAACGUGCCCAGUCGUGGGGGAUAACGCAGCGAAAGCUGUGCUAAUACCGCAUACGAUCUAUGGAUGAAAGCGGGGGACCGUAAGGCCUCGCGCGAUUGGAGCGGCCGAUGUCAGAUUAGGUAGUUGGUGGGGUAAAGGCUCACCAAGCCAACGAUCUGUAGCUGGUCUGAGAGGACGACGAGCCACACUGGGACUGGGACACGGCCCAGACUCCUACGGGAGGCAGCAGUGGGGAAUUUUGGACAAUGGGCGCAAGCCUGAUCCAGCAAUGCCGCGUGCAGGAAGAGGGCCUUCGGGUUGUAAACUGCUUUUGUACGGAACGAAAAGGUUUGGGUUAAUACCCUGGGCCGAUGACGGUACCGUAAGAAUAAGCACCGGCUAACUACGUGCCAGCCGCCGCGGUAA
RNAcentral lists this ribosomal RNA (498 nucleotides) under uncultured bacterium. Its description in RNAcentral is "partial 16S ribosomal RNA". It matches the Rfam family "Bacterial small subunit ribosomal RNA", at positions 29 to 523 of the family's 1533-position model. The record is from RNAcentral.